This is a long non-coding RNA of Micropterus salmoides (largemouth bass), 5328 nucleotides long. RefSeq lists it as uncharacterized. The record is from RefSeq and is a predicted model, not a curated record. The transcript has 3 exons. NCBI's taxonomy places the organism in Eukaryota, Metazoa, Chordata, Actinopteri, Centrarchiformes, Centrarchidae.
CGCGGAGAGACAGACAGAUGGAGGAGAAGCAUGCAGCAGAGAGGAGGAGAAACAAAGCAUGUUGACUGAGGAAGUGUGCACGCCAUGCGGGCCAUGUGCUCAGAUCCAGGAGCGCUGCACUCGAGGAAGGUGUCUGCAAAUCGGGCUGUUUCUCUUCUGCAACUUAACUCCCAGCUGCUGUACAAGACCAGAGAAUACAGUCUGAACUCUUCAUGAUGCACAUCACUGAAAAAGCGGCAAAGACUGGCAAUCGAGAGCUCCCAUCCUGCUGGUAAGAAUCACCAUUAACUAUGAUUUUAUCUGAUGCAGAAAUAGUGUGAACUCAGUUUAUCAAAUGGAGAAGAUAACCCUGGCAGCAGAUACCAGACUCGUAUUGUCAAAUCGAGGUUUUUGUAAAUUUGAGAUAUUGAGCUAUUUGUUAAUGCACUUUUGCACUAGGAGACAUGAGUUUUAGAUCAAGAUUGUACCAGGGUCUCGUCUCUUAAAAUACUACACUUCCCCAGUGCAUCUACUACAUCUAGAAACCAUUCAUCCUACUCAUCUGUGUCCUUUCAUUAGAUCAAAAUCCUCCCCUGUAUCUGUGAUUUUAAAAUAACCGCAACCUACAGUGGUCAGCCGUUUUAGAAGCUCUUUACUUACAGUAGCCAACAGGACAUGUGUAUAUAAAACAUUUUAGUGUACUUAAUGUACACCAAAAAAAAAAAAUCUGGCAGCAUGAUUCACACACAAAAGCACACAUACAGCAUGUACAGCCCACACACUCCCACGUGUUUCUCCUGCCUCUGCUCCCGUCAGAUGUACGGCACAUGACAUCAUUAAAGAGGUGGUCUAAAAAUCAGUGUGGGUACCGCAUGUGGGUAGGCAGUGUGUGUGUUUGUGUGUGUGUGUGUGUUUUUGUUUCUGUGUGGGUGAGGGGAAUGAAAGCCAAAGCUCCAGAGCCGUGGGCCCAAGCUGGCUGCGUGUGUGUGCCCAGCCGGAGGCUCUGGUCCUGGGCUGCGCUGCCUCCCACGCUGGGGUACGGCUGGGGCUGAGUGGGAGGGAGGAGUGGGAGGGAAAAGUGGGCUGGGGCUGUGAGUCAGCCCGCUGCGGAGCCCCCAGACAAGAGACCGCUAAGGGAAGCAACUCACUGCUAGAGUUCUCUCCCUGCCAGCAAUCGAAGAAACAUUAAAAUUUAUUAUGAGGAGUGUACUAGCGCUGGUGAAGCAGUGACAGAAGAAGAAGCAACUGCUGAUAUUGCAGAUAGGAGAGACAGUGAUGGAAACAGUCUCAGAAAGUGUCAAGAUUCUGGAGAAAAACACACUUGCAGAAAAGCUGAUGGGUUCUGAGAUUUCAGCUCCUUGGUUAUGACGUAGGCCUACAGUAGAUGGCAGAGAUGGCAGGAUGUGCAUCUUUGUUUUGUAUUUUAGCAAAUGCAAGUUUCUAAUUAUUUAAACGUCAAUGUUGUUAGUAUAAGACUCGCUGUAGGCAGCUCUGCCACUUCCCAGAUCUUUCCUGUAUAUUUUAGGCUUAAAUCUUUGUCAUGUAACUACAGCAAGACUCUGCAUAGCACAGUCCCUGCCCGAUGUCUCAUUUUCUGGCACUUCUGAGACAGAUGGCAGUUUCAGACCCAGCCCCAUCUGCUAGAACCGCUUGCUCGUUCUCACUCUGUCUGCUUCUCUGAAAGAAGAAGCUGAGAAAACAGAACCCCCAUACUGCACGUCCAUUUAAUCUUCCGUAAAUGACAUGCUCACAUUCCACACUUGUGCAUGCACAUACAUAUGCAUAGUCCAUUAGUCAUAAGUGAUAGGGAGCAUUCGUCAUUGGUGAAUUAGCCGGGUUAGUAAACAUGUUUCUGGCCUUGAGCUUACACAAUAGUGGCUUUCAUCAAAGUGUAGGUGAAUUUAAUACUUAAUUAAAUGACUCAAAUAGCUGCAAAAUAAUAAUCUCUAUUUCUCUGUUAAGCGAGCUCACUAUGAGGUGUGACCUGACCUGGACACGCUCUGCAGAAGGACACAGUCACAACACGUGACUAUUACAGUGUGCAGUGGUGUGCAGAGACUUUGUGAGCUUUUGUAAGCUGGAAUCAGUAUCGACUGAAGCUCCUGACAGCUAAUAUUUGGUGCAGAUCUCUUCUGUAUUGUAUUGUAAUGUGGCCAUUUUCAUGCAUAACAGUCCUUUAAGAUUAUAAUGUUUGAAGACCCUGGAAACAGCAUUUAUACAAGGGAUACAACUAACCAUUAUUUUCAUUAUCGAUUAAUCUGAUUGAUCAUAAAGUCUAUAAAAUGAAACAAAUCCCUAGAGUCCAAGGUGACACCUUCAAUUUAUUUAGUCUAAAUAACAGUCCAAACCCCCAACUAUUCAGUCUAUUAACAAAUAAAAGAAAAACAGCAAAUCCUCACAAUUAAGAUGCUGAAACAGGUUGUUCUUGAAUAUUGACUUAAAUGGUUUAUCAUUUAUCUUCUUAUCAUAAUCGAUAAUCUAAAAAUAUUAGCUCCAGUUUAGACCACAGUGGGACGACACAAGUGUUAUUUAAAACACAUCUUAAGAAAAAAAAUAGCUGGGUUUAAAGCCACUUAAGAUAGGUUAAAGUAGGUGUUAUCGCUGGCUUUAGAUUCUGCCUCCUUCAGAAUUAUCAUCAUGUUUCCAGAAGCUUUUAUUUAUGUUGCCGUCAGCCUUGUUUUGAACACAAAUCUACUUUUUCUUUCCUUACACCUGUUUUUUCAUGAAACACCUUAAGAGCUACAGAACAGCUGUUCAUAAAUGCCUUUUUAAUACACUUCCUUAGAGUCAGUUACAAGCAUCUAUAUAUUUAAGUAGGCUUUAGCUUGAGACCCCUAAUCAAUACACAGGCCUAUAGUCAUUUCAGUUACAUUUCAGCAGAUUUCCAUCCUCAGAGUUGGAGGUCAGGCCCAGGCCCACAAUGGCCCAAUGAGCUCAGCAGCAGCACUAUUACUGGGCUGGGCCGGUCGCUCUGAUAAUGGAAGGUGGUUCUCCAGGAAACCCAGAGGGAGUCCACCAGUCUGGGGCGUGGGGGCUGGAGCCAGGGGACCGGCCCAGGGGUGUGGAGCAGCAGUAGAUGGGGUGGUGGGAAACGCUGGAGGAUAACAUUGGCAUGUGGAGGCGAGGCAGAGGUGGGACAGGUCGAAAAGGAUGACAGGCGAGGAGUGGGAGGCAAGGACAGGGAAGUGAGAACAGGAAACACUGGUCAGAGUGGUGGGGGAGAGUGGAAUGUUUCACAAGAAGUCUUCUCCACCCUGUAGCAUCACGAUGAGGGCGUCUGCUUGUUGAUGUUGCUGCUCGGACAGCCACCAGCCAGCGGAGGAACUGUCACAGUUGUGACCCCUCACCGCCUUGGCAGGGCUCACAGCUCUUAUAUCCUGUGAGUGGGCCUGCCAGCAGCAGAGUCACUGCCUUCACAUAAGCCCAUGUUGUGUGGUUGUGGAAGAGAGAGAGAGAGAGAGAGAGAGAGAGAGUCUCAUACUGUAGCUGUUUUUCCUCUGACACCUCUGAAGGGAAGAGGAAGAGGAAAGAGGGAGAGGGACUCGCAGGGCAGGGAUGACGGGGUGGAGUGCGACACCGGUGGGUUCCUUUAAAGGAGUCACAAUGCUGUCGUGCAAAAACAGAAUACACACACCCACACAUUGGUAAUGCAUCUUUACAUUAACAGCAUUAUACAUUGCUCUCAUGAAGUAUUGUGUUUUUAGAGCAAUACAGUACAUACAGUUGUAUACAGUAAAAUGCAUGCAAAAUUUGUCAUCUGCAUUUAACCCAUCCUAAUUAGGAGCAGUGCCCUGACAUUGCGCAGCACCCGAGGAGCAGUUUACUAAACUUACUAAAAUUAAGGGAUAAUUCUGAUUUGUGGUGGAAAUAAACUAAGAACAUUUACCUAAACACUGUUUAGUUUUAAGGUACUUACACUGUAUUUAAGAGGAAAAUAUUGUACGUUUUACUCCAGUACACUUUUGCGUGGUUUCUAGUUACAUCCAAAACAUAUGAUAAGCUUAUAAAAUACGCUGAAUUGGUAUAAAUUAAACUAUCCAACAACAAACAAAGGACUGACAAUUACAACAUUAACAGAAAGUCUAUAACAUUUUAUUAUGAUGAUUUAAAAAAAACAGCCAUUUAAGUUAAGGUUUGGAAAAAACACCAGUUGAUUAUUAAAGUUUAAUACUCAAAAAAGCACAACUAAUCUACUUCAUCAGGACUGUGUGGGUGAGGGGAGGAUCAGAUGUGAUUGACAGUGGCACUUCCGCCUCUGAAAAAAUGCAAAUGACCCUUUUAACUGUCAUCACAUUUUGAUUCUGCUGAAUCCUGAUUGGUGCUUGUACAUAAGUAACAUGACCGAAAAUACACAGAUAUGUCUCAAUUUAAAUAAUCAAAAUUAUGCAAAUGUAUUAACUUUUUUUUAAUGUUACAUAAUGGAGGACACUCUCACUUACAGUAAAAGAAAUUUGUUUUCGAGGCCUUUAACUUGUUAGAUUAAGUUAAAUUAAAUAUAAUUCACCUUGAUGAACGGGACCAAUCUGCUACAUGUGUUCUUUUUGUUAUGCAAAGUACAUUUUGGAUGUAAAUACUUCUUCCACCACUUAGUUAAUGUUAAUGUAAUGUUAAGAUUGUACUCAUCGCGCUGAUUGAAUCCACCAAAAGGACAAGAAACACAAGUGAUAGGUUGCAAACAAACUUUGGUGAACCCAAUGUUAUCACAACUGAUAGAAAUGAUGAUGUUCUGAAAAUAAAACCUGAGGUUUUUUUAACAGGAAUUAUCCUUUAAUACUUCCGCUGUUCCUAAUACUACAGUUAUUACUUUAUAUAGCCUAACCUAAUACUUAACCAUUGCAUCACAAUAGAAGUAUUCGUGUGUGAUGUAAUUAGAGACACUUUCACAAGUAAUGGAAAACUCAAGCACCACCGUAAUGCAUCACACCUCAAGCUGCUCUGGAUGUUUCUGCAGGCUUGGAGGUGCUUGUCUGUCACCAGAGCGGCUGAGGUAUCCCUGUGUGUGAGACUAAAAGUCCAGGGUUAUCACCGGACAAUAAGCACACACACGUAGAAACAGAAGGGUGCACACACGUUACCAAAGAGCAGAGGGGAGCAAUGUAGAACAAGCACACAGUUGCGGGAGAUAAGACGCAGAGUCAUGCCUCCACAGCGUGACUAUGACAUCACAGUUGUAUCUGUUAGCUCACUGUCUCCCCAUGCUAGAAACAGACUGGCCUAAUAUAGUCAGUGUCGACCAUGCCACACACACUUCCGCCCAGGGCCAGGGGCACGAGAGUCUGCCUGCCAUAUUUCCAUCUCAUGUCCUUGGGUGGGUUGAAAGCACAUGUUCCUUCUGAGGUGUGUGUGUGU